Molecule: long non-coding RNA, 731 nt
Organism: Pogoniulus pusillus (Red-fronted tinkerbird)
Lineage: Eukaryota; Metazoa; Chordata; Aves; Piciformes; Lybiidae
Exons: 2
Source: RefSeq, a predicted model, not a curated record
UUGGAAAGGGUGGUGUGGAGAAUAAGACCAGGUGUGCCAAUUUAACAGGGGAUUAGGUGAGCAGCAGGCUGCAGUGCCUCAGUGAGCAACAGCACAGUGCCAGGGAAGGUGAUUUUGAUCCUCUGUCUUCAAGAGAGAUCUCAGUAGAACCACUAAAGACUUGUUGGAGGAGACCAUGAUGCUGUUUUUGACAGCUGUCCAUCAGUAGAAGACAGACAUGGAUCAGGCUAGUACUGCUACUGCAGCAGGGGCUGGCUGACAGUGCCCAGAUCUGCUCCAGUAAGCCAGAUUGCUCUGGAGGCUGCUGUGGACUUAUCCUCUGCCACCGGAGACAGAAUGUCACCCUUAAUAUUUAUAAUUACAAAGUGCAAUAGUGACAUCCACAGACAGGAGGCAUGGCAACAGAUCUGUGUGACAACUACCUUUGCCAUGAGGCAGCUCUGUCCCCAGCAAUGGAGAGCAAUGUUAUCAUACCAAAGACCCUCUUUAGCUUCAGUUUCUCUUCUCUUAGGAGGGCUGACAAAAUAAAUAUGCAGGGAUGGUGGUAACUUCAUAACUAUACAUGAAAACUAUGUAGGGGUUAGCAAUUUCUGCUUUUAGUCUGAAUCAUGCAUCUGAGGAUGAAAUAUUUCUAAUGUGUCUUAAAACACAAAGUUUAUUAGUAGCUGGGGAAACAGUGUAAAAUCUCAACUGUGCAUAAAAUAUAAUAUAUGCCAUGUUGGUGCUGAUCA